Molecule: non-coding RNA, 403 nt
Organism: Pelobates cultripes (western spadefoot toad)
Lineage: Eukaryota; Metazoa; Chordata; Amphibia; Anura; Pelobatidae
Source: the annotation of a GenBank genome assembly
CGAAUAUGCUUUCCUAAAUAAGUGAGUUUUUAAUAAUUUUUUGAAUAAACUGAGACUGGAUGAGAGUCUAACAGAGCCGGGAAGGGAGUUCCAUAGGAACGGUGCAGCCCGAGAGAAGUCUUAAAUGCGAGCAUCAGAGGUGGGAGUACGGAUAGAGAAUAGACGCAGAAUGAAUUCAUUCCAAUAUACUAUAACUUUAUAUAGACUUCCUUUGUACAUGGAGCACUUACUAAAUAUGUACAUUAGGUUCUGUACAUUCUGUAACCAGCAUGUUUAACACUAGAACAUUCUACAACCAUUCCGCUCAGAGAGUAAUAUUGGUUUUGUCUUCCCACAAUGCUAGUUACCACAUUUCCCCCUGGGCAUCUCCACUGGUCCUGAGGGAGGAUUGUGUUUGUAUAUA